Lemur catta (Ring-tailed lemur) is the source of this 728-nucleotide long non-coding RNA. RefSeq lists it as uncharacterized. The record is from RefSeq and is a predicted model, not a curated record. NCBI's taxonomy places the organism in Eukaryota, Metazoa, Chordata, Mammalia, Primates, Lemuridae. The transcript has 3 exons.
CGGAGGGCGGAGAUCGGCUUCAUCCGCAGCGCCUGCAUUUAGUUGUCGCAGCGUGGCCACAAAGUUACCCCGGGUACCCAGAAAAACAAAACCACCGCCCCACGCACACAUCCUCAGUUACUCUGGCUGCCCUGUGAGGAGUGGUUUGCAGAGUGGCAAGACUACAAGCAAGUCUAACAAGGAGGCUAUUACAGCACUGCAGUCAAGAGAUGAUGGGGAUGACAUCAUGGUGGCAGUGGAGAUGGAGAGAAGAAGAGAGAGCCCAGAUGGAUUAUGAAAGCAGAAAUAAUGACUCAACUUGCUGACGGAUUGAUUGGAUGUAGGAGUUGAGAGAGAGGAAGAUGAUUCAGAGAUGGGAUCUUGCUAUGUUGCCCAGGAUUGAUGGCAUUCUGAUCAGCAAUGGAAGAGCUUUGAAUACCUCUUGGAGUAGACUGUUGAAAUUAGUAAACUAAGCAUGUAUUUUACAUUUUGAAUAGAUAAAACUUUCACAUCAUUCAAAAUAUAAAAGGUAUAAGAGUAUAGAGUAAAAAGUUUCCCUUUUACGUCUCUUCUCCAGCUGCUCAACACCCGUUCCCUGAAGGAAUCCAUUCAAUUAUUUUACAAUAUUUUAUCCAUAUUUUAUGGAUGUAGUAAAUAGGAUUCUUUUUUAAAAAUAAGUUUUAUUGUAUAUACUGAAGGUAUACAACAGGAUGUUAUGUGAUACAUAUAAUAGUAAAAAGGUUACUAUA